RNAcentral lists this long non-coding RNA (1675 nucleotides) under Setaria viridis. Its description in RNAcentral is "long non-coding RNA (SVIR_LNC010149)". The record is from RNAcentral. Lineage: Eukaryota; Viridiplantae; Streptophyta; Magnoliopsida; Poales; Poaceae.
CGGAAGCGCUCAGCGCCAAUGGUGAUGACCUGUCCAUCAGGAAGCUCGUAGCUCUUCUCCACAGAAGAGCUGGUCUUGGCAGUCUCCAUCUCCUGGUCGUAGUCCAGGGCAAUGUAGGCAAGCUUCUCCUUCAUGUCCCUGACAAUUUCCCGCUCAGCGGUGGUGGUGAAGGAGUAGCCGCGCUCAGUCAGGAUCUUCAUGAGGUAGUCAGUGAGAUCACGGCCAGCAAGGUCGAGACGAAGGAUAGCGUGGGGGAGGGCGUAUCCCUCGUAGAUGGGGACAGUGUGGCUGACACCAUCUCCAGAGUCGAGCACGAUACCUGAGGGGUAAAGAGAUUUCGAAUGUUAGUGACAAUUGGAGCAAAUCAGAUUUGAAAAGUGCUUAUUCAAAGCAGCAUAAUUUGUUUGUUAGGUUGAUUCAUCAAAUUUGUCAAGAUCAAUGUUUACAUAUGAACAUUUUCCAAGAUCUCUAAAAUUUCAAAAGGCUACAGUUCAGUAGAGAAUCAAAUCAGCUCACCUGUGGUACGACCACUGGCAUACAGCGAGAGGACGGCCUGGAUGGCGACGUACAUAGCAGGGGUGUUGAAGGUCUCGAACAUGAUCUGGGUCAUCUUCUCACGGUUAGCCUUGGGGUUGAGGGGCGCCUCAGUGAGGAGGACAGGGUGCUCCUCGGGAGCCACACGGAGCUCGUUGUAGAAGGUGUGAUGCCAGAUCUUCUCCAUGUCGUCCCAGUUGCUGACGAUGCCGUGCUCGAUGGGGUACUUGAGGGUCAGGAUACCCCUCUUCGACUGGGCCUCGUCACCGACGUAGGCGUCCUUCUGCCCCAUCCCGACCAUGACACCGGUGUGGCGUGGGCGCCCCACGAUGCUGGGGAAGACGGCCCUCGGGGCGUCGUCCCCGGCGAACCCAGCCUGCCAUCAAGAGCAAACAAGCACAUUGCUGUUGUUAGAGCCUUAGCAGUAACCAACUGAAGAAAAAAAGUGUUUCGGAAAUCAAAACGGUCGCUCACCUUCACCAUACCGGUACCAUUGUCGCAGACGAGAGGCUGAAUGUCCUCCGCGUCAGCCAUUUUCUACCUACAGGAAAGCUCGCACGAUGCCACAUUUGUCAAAUCAAGCAGGAAUUAAAUAAGCAAAGCAGGCAAAUUGCAAAGCUAUCGAUGAUUUGUUUCCAUUGUUUGCUCUACAUACAAAAUCUACUCUAAAGGCAUCAAUUGAACCCUCCCAAUAAGAUACCAGAAAACCAGCAAUUAACGAACUAAUAAAUGGCAUUCCCCAACCCCACCACAGAUCAGGUCAUUUCGUUACCGAAACGCCCGAGGCGCCUCCAGAUCACGAGCCGAAACAAGCAGAUCUACAGCAUGCCAAAGAAACCCGCGCCCCAUUUCCGCGAGAUCCGGCCGGAUCCGCGGCGGGAGCGCGCAAAUGCGAGAUCGGAUCGGCCCGAGCGAGCAAUGCCGGGCGGAUCUGAGAGCACCGUACCGCGCCCGCGCGGGGCGGCGGUAGGGAGGAAGGGGAGACUCUAGCGAGGGACACAGGGUGAAUGAGUGGCGAAGAUCGUUACCGGAGUAGUGGAGGAUCCGCGGCGAGGAGGUGGGGAGCGGGCGGCGAGCUCGCGGCUGGGGGGAAGAUGGGGAGGAGAGGAGAGGAGAGGAGAGGGCGAAGCGGUGGUGAUGG